UACGAAGGGUGCAAGCGUUACUCGGAAUUACUGGGCGUAAAGCGCGCGUAGGCGGCUUUGUAAGUUAGAGGUGAAAGCCCGGAGCUCAACUCCGGAACUGCCUUUAAAACUGCAUCGCUUGAAUCCAGGAGAGGUGAGUGGAAUUCCGAGUGUAGAGGUGAAAUUCGUAGAUAUUCGGAAGAACACCAGUGGCGAAGGCGGCUCACUGGACUGGUAUUGACGCUGAGGUGCGAAAGCGUGGGGAGCAAACAGG
RNAcentral lists this ribosomal RNA (253 nucleotides) under uncultured bacterium. RNAcentral describes it as "partial 16S ribosomal RNA". It matches the Rfam family "Bacterial small subunit ribosomal RNA", at positions 524 to 776 of the family's 1533-position model. The record is from RNAcentral.